GAUUAGCUCAGUUGGUAGAGCAUGAGACUUUUAAUCUCAGGGUCAUGGGUUUGAGCCUUAUACAAAGCA
Molecule: non-coding RNA, 69 nt
Organism: Massospora cicadina
Lineage: Eukaryota; Fungi; Entomophthoromycota; Entomophthoromycetes; Entomophthorales; Entomophthoraceae
Source: the annotation of a GenBank genome assembly